This 489-nucleotide long non-coding RNA is filed under the name Homo sapiens (human). Its description in RNAcentral is "non-protein coding lnc-C2CD5-4:1". Lineage: Eukaryota; Metazoa; Chordata; Mammalia; Primates; Hominidae. The record is from RNAcentral.
UCUUAUUAAGACUGGCUUUAGAACCGUAGGUUUUUUUAAAAAAUUAUUAUUUAUUUUUGCCCUCUUUGGGGAAGUGGGUGGGUAGAUUUAAAAAAUCCCUUCCUGAGUAAUAAAGAUACAAAAUGUUACUGCUGAUAAUUGUGAUUUGUUGAGCCACGUCUAUAUUAACUAUAGCUCCCCUCUAUUUUUAAAAUUUUACAUAAGAAUUGCUUCUUCCUCUUUUGUCAAGUCCACAGAGACAAUGUGAAGCAUUAUUGAAUUUAGACUGUGUUGCUUCAUAGUCUGGAUAACAGGAGCCACUUUCCUUCCUCAGAAUUUAGGACAUAAACCCAAUUUUAGGUCUGCAUUAUGUAAGCCUGUUUGCAUUGUCAUUUUUAUUUUAGUGCAAAAGACUACCAAUAUGAGUGAAUUAUUUGUUUGUAAAUUGGCAUAAUUGUCUUCAUAAUUUAAUGUUCAGAAAUGCAGUAAAGCACGUUGAUGAAAAGCUUA